Molecule: ribosomal RNA, 246 nt
Filed under: uncultured bacterium
Lineage: Bacteria
Description: partial 16S ribosomal RNA
Rfam family: Bacterial small subunit ribosomal RNA
Source: RNAcentral
GACAGAGGCCCCGAGCGUUAGGCGGAAUCACUGGGCUUAAAGCGCGUGUAGGCGGAGGGCUAAGUACCUUGUGAAAUCCCCCGGGCUCAACCCGGGAACUGCUCGGUAUACUGGCCUUCUUGAGGCAUCUAGGGGGCGAGCGGAACAAAACGGUGGAGCGGUGAAAUGCGUAGAUAUCGUUUUGGAACGCCAACGGAGAAAAUCAGCUCGCUGGGGGAUGUCCUGACGCUGAGGAGCGAAAAGCAU